RNAcentral lists this unclassified non-coding RNA (1153 nucleotides) under Dimorphilus gyrociliatus. RNAcentral describes it as "dgyrCDS11277". The record is from RNAcentral. Lineage: Eukaryota; Metazoa; Annelida; Polychaeta; Dinophilidae.
GUUGUUUAAAAAUGGCCGCCCCCCCAACGCCGAAAACUAUUGCCGCAGCCGUUGCUCAAGGAAACUAUACCGCUAUUCAACAGCUGAUUGCCAAUAAUCAUGAUGUAAACAAACGAUCUCCUGAUGGAAUGACUCCACUAGGCCUAGCAGCUUUUUGGGGUUAUUCCGAUAUUGUUAGUUUGCUUUUACAGUCAAAUGCUGACAUCAAUGGAACAAAUGCGGGAACAAACUGGACUCCUCUGCAUUGCGCCGCUUUUCAAGAUCAUGGAAAAGUUAUUAUGAAAUUAAUGGAAUACAAUCCUAGAGUAGAUAUUAGAGAUCAUCAGGGAAGAACGGCUGUUGAUUUUGCAUCAGCACUUGAUUCAAUAUGGCCAUUUUUUGCUGGUACUAUUAUUUUAUUACCGUUUAAUACUAUGCUUAUACUUAAUUUAAUGAUUUUAGCGAGAAAUUGUAAAAGAACACACAAAUCCGAACUUUUAAGAAUGAAUAUAAUUACUAAGGUCAGUUGUUGAUAUCGUAUUAUUUUAAAUUGAGAAUUUUUCUCUACGUUUCCAAAAAUACAUUCCGUUAUUUUUUUGCAAUUUAAUUCUCUGUUAACUACUCCACAGCUUUCCAGUCAAGAAGAGGAAGCAGUGCCAUCAAAUCAACAAACGUAUUUUUCCCGACCAGGAUCGGCUUACGUUUUCAGGGAUCCACUUUCUGGAGAAGCUCGACGAUAUAAUAAAAAUCAAGUUUGUUACACUGUUUCUUUUUGUUUUGAAAUAUUGAUUAUAAAAAUUUAAGGAGGCUGCCGCAAUGACUGGUGAUGUUCUUGCCGACAUAAACGAAGGAGUUGGAGAGAUACAACGAGAAACCCAAAGAUUGAAAAUAUGGAGCAAUUAAUGAAAAUAGUUAUUUGAAAGAACAGACAUUUUCCACAUAGGAUAUUUUUUAUGUCUAGGCACGCGUUUUGACUUAAUGUUAGCUUUAAUUUCGUGAGUCCUUACAGUUUACAAUACUACUUUUUUUUGUUACGUGAUUUACCCUUUGUUAAUAUGUUUACUUCAAAUUGGAAGUAAUUAAUUUUAGUUGAUAGCAAAUUCUAGUAAUAGUUUAAAUAUAAAAAAAUUGUAUUCAAUUCUCUUUAAGCAAAAAAACUAUCCUUCAAGAUGAG